Molecule: long non-coding RNA, 447 nt
Organism: Gossypium arboreum
Lineage: Eukaryota; Viridiplantae; Streptophyta; Magnoliopsida; Malvales; Malvaceae
Exons: 2
Source: RefSeq, a predicted model, not a curated record
AAUAUGAAAUUUUAUUAAAAGAAAAAGGGGUGAAAAGAACAAAGUUUUGUCCAUCUUUGUUCAUCAUAGCUGAAAGUUAGAGAAGAGAAAGGAGAGGAGAAAGCUCUUGAGUAUUCGGUCAUUAGGAGGAGGAAAAUUGAAGGAAAUCCCCAACCAUAGUGGGCUUGGAGCUGUUAGGGAAUUCGGAGUGGCCACCCGUUCUGAAAGUUUGAUUUUCUUCUGGUGAACUGGACAUCCUUUUAAUUACGUUUGAGGUUUUUGGGCUUUUAAAUGUAAUAAGGCAGCUUAUUUAUUUUUGAUGGUUUUUAAUAUGUAUUACUAAGAUAGGUAUUACUUAUUUUAACUGUUGAAAUUGGAUAGCUUCAGGGCGCGUUUUCACAAACAACAAUUGAUUUCAAAAUAAUACGACAACAAACAAAGCUUCCGCAAUGAAAGUAUUUUCCAAAA